CUCUUCGAUGUUCUGGGCUGCACGCGCGCUACAGUGGCAAAGACAGAGAGCAUGAAUUAAUUAUAGAGUCGCAUCGAGGGAUGUGACGAAUCAGCAGUCGUUGUCGUGAUUGGGAUUGAGCGUUGUAAUAUUUGCUCAUGAAAGAGGAAUUCCUCGUAAGCGCGAGUCACUAACUCGUGUUAAUUACGUCUCUGCCCUUUGUACACACCGCCCGUCGCUACUACCGAUUGAACUGGUUUUUGAAGUGUAGAGAUUGGCAGGCAUGGUUUACGUGCAUUGCAAAGAACCACUCUGAAAAAAUCGUUCGAGAAGAAGUAAAAGUCGUAACA
This 329-nucleotide ribosomal RNA is filed under the name uncultured eukaryote. RNAcentral's name for it is "partial 18S ribosomal RNA". It matches the Rfam family "Eukaryotic small subunit ribosomal RNA", at positions 1470 to 1796 of the family's 1831-position model. The record is from RNAcentral.